GGACUCGGCCUAUCCGUCAGCACGCAGGCUCCACCCUCGCUGAACUCACAGAGGACAAUUUAGGCAGGAACCACACACUGCUAUGACAUAUCCACCCCACCGUGCUUUCUCGAGGAGUGAUGUCCCAUACCCCCUGCUGAGCAGCCCUGUACAGUGGCCACUUUCCCUGGUAGUAGGUGACACAUCUACAAGGUGGCCCCAGCAGCCUUCAGCCCUAGAGUCUGACUGCCCUGGUCCAAGCCAUCCCUGCCUUGCUGGCCUCCUGGGGCCCAUGCACCCUGUUGACAUUCCCCUCUCCACUGCCCUCCACUCAAAGCACCAAAGAAGACUUACUCAAUGUGUCCUUAUGGUGCAGAGUCCCAGCAAGCAGAGGUCUUUGUAUCUGUUGAAUAAAAAAAUUCCUCAUGAUGCGUAGUAACAUCAGUGAGGAAGACUGCACCAAGGCG
Molecule: long non-coding RNA, 446 nt
Organism: Homo sapiens (human)
Lineage: Eukaryota; Metazoa; Chordata; Mammalia; Primates; Hominidae
Gene: IBA57-DT
Product: IBA57 divergent transcript
Source: Ensembl